UACGUAGUGACCUGCGGAGGAUCAUUACUAGAGCAAAGGAUAGACAGCGCCCGCGGAGCUCGCUCCCGGGGCUACCCUACUCCCGUAGGGUUUAGAGUCGUCGGGCCUCUCGGAGAAGCUCGGUCCUGAACUCCACCCUUGAAUAAACUACCUUUGUUGCUUUGGCGGGCCGCCUCGUGCCAGCGGCUUCGGCUGUUGAGUGCCCGCCAGAGGACCCCAACUCUUGUUUUUAGUGAUGUCUGAGUACUAUAUAAUAGUUAAAACUUUCAACAACGGAUCUCUUGGUUCUGGCAUCGAUGAAGAACGCAGCGAAAUGCGAUAAGUAAUGUGAAUUGCAGAAUUCAGUGAAUCAUCGAAUCUUUGAACGCACAUUGCGCCCUCUGGUAUUCCGGGGGGCAUGCCUGUUCGAGCGUCAUUAUAACCACUCAAGCUCUCGCUUGGUAUUGGGGUUCGCGGUUUCGCGGCCCCUAAAAUCAGUGGCGGUGCCUGUCGGCUCUACGCGUAGUAAUACUCCUCGCGAUUGAGUCCGGUAGGUCUACUUGCCAGCAACCCCUAAUUUUUUUUAAGGUUGACCUCGGAUCAGGUAGGGAUACCCGCUGAACUUAAGCAUAUCAAA
This 616-nucleotide ribosomal RNA is filed under the name Leptodophora orchidicola. RNAcentral's name for it is "eukaryotic LSU rRNA". The stretch from base 262 to 415 matches the Rfam family "5.8S ribosomal RNA". The record is from RNAcentral. Lineage: Eukaryota; Fungi; Ascomycota; Leotiomycetes; Helotiales.